This 86-nucleotide transfer RNA is filed under the name Alphaproteobacteria bacterium. RNAcentral describes it as "tRNA-Tyr". It matches the Rfam family "tRNA". Rfam says of the family: Transfer RNA (tRNA) molecules are approximately 80 nucleotides in length. Lineage: Bacteria; Pseudomonadati; Pseudomonadota; Alphaproteobacteria. The record is from RNAcentral.
GGAGGGGUGGUCGAGUGGUUAAUGGCAGCGGACUGUAACUCCGCCUCCUUCGGGAUACAUAGGUUCAAAUCCUAUCCCCUCCACCA